CCAUAUCACGUUGGAAUACCGGUUCUCGUUCGAUCACAGAAAUUAAGUAAUGUUGAGCCUGGUCAGUACUCAGAUGGGUAACCACUGG
Molecule: non-coding RNA, 88 nt
Organism: Acanthosepion pharaonis
Lineage: Eukaryota; Metazoa; Mollusca; Cephalopoda; Sepiida; Sepiidae
Source: the annotation of a GenBank genome assembly